UACGUAGGUGACCAGCGUUGUCCGGAUUUACUGGGCGUAAAGCGUGCGCAGGCGGUAAGUUAAGUCUGAUGUGAAAGCCCCGGGCUCAACCUGGGAAUGGCAUUGGAAACUGGCUUGCUGGAGUGUGGCAGAGGGGGGUGGAAUUCCGCGUGUAGCAGUGAAAUGCGUAGAGAUGUGGAGGAAUACCGAUGGCGAAGGCAGCCCCCUGGGAUACCACUGACGCUCAUGCACGAAAGCGUGGGGAGCAAACAGG
This 253-nucleotide ribosomal RNA is filed under the name uncultured bacterium. RNAcentral describes it as "partial 16S ribosomal RNA". It matches the Rfam family "Bacterial small subunit ribosomal RNA", at positions 524 to 776 of the family's 1533-position model. The record is from RNAcentral.